RNAcentral lists this ribosomal RNA (477 nucleotides) under uncultured bacterium. RNAcentral's name for it is "partial 16S ribosomal RNA". It matches the Rfam family "Bacterial small subunit ribosomal RNA", at positions 28 to 507 of the family's 1533-position model. The record is from RNAcentral.
GAUGAACGCUGGCGGCGUGCCUAAUACAUGCAAGUCGAGCGAACGGACGAGAAGCUUGCUUCUCUGAUGUUAGCGGCGGACGGGUGAGUAACACGUGGAUAACCUACCUAUAAGACUGGGAUAACUUCGGGAAACCGUAGCUAAUACCGGAUAAUAUUUUGAACCGCAUGGUUCAAAAGUGAAAGACGGUCUUGCUGUCACUUAUAGAUGGAUCCGCGCUGCAUUAGCUAGUUGGUAAGGUAACGGCUUACCAAGGCAACGAUGCAUAGCCGACCUGAGAGGGUGAUCGGCCACACUGGAACUGAGACACGGUCCAGACUCCUACGGGAGGCAGCAGUGGGGAAUAUUGCACAAUGGGCGGAAGCCUGAUGCAGCAACGCCGCGUGCGGGAUGACGGCCUUCGGGUUGUAAACCGCUUUCGCCUGUGACGAAGCGUGAGUGACGGUAAUGGGUAAAGAAGCACCGGCUAACUACGUG